Molecule: long non-coding RNA, 1794 nt
Organism: Achroia grisella
Lineage: Eukaryota; Metazoa; Arthropoda; Insecta; Lepidoptera; Pyralidae
Exons: 3
Source: RefSeq, a predicted model, not a curated record
UUUAAGAGUGUGGGAUUGGAAGCAAAGCAAAGGUAACUGUACUCAAAGUGAGAACGGACUAUGGAUUUGUACAACAUAAGUAAAAUCUUUGGAUCAGCCCCCCAAAAUGUUUUGGAAAGGCAUUUUAAAAUAUUAAAAGCUCUAGAAGCUUUAUCAGAUAUAUUACAGACAUGCUUAUUCCAAGAUAGAUUUUUUGUUAAUGUUACACCAAGAAACUUGGCUUCAGCUACUACAGGCAGUAUGCUACCAUUAUAAUUAAUAUUAGCAUGCAAAGUUCUUGAUCUACUGAAUAUAACAACUUUAGUUUUAUCUAAACUAAUAUCUAAUUGUAAAUAUUUAAAAUAAACAUUUAAUUUCUUUAAAGCUUUGUUUAUUUUAUUUUCUACUAUAUGAAUAUUUGAGCCUGAACAGUAAACUGCUAAAUCAUCAGCAAACUGUAAAUUGCUGACUUCAUUACCAAGAAUAAUAUUAAUUUUAUGAAUAUACAAAAUAAAUAACAGUGGACUCAAUAUUCCCCCUUGACAUACACCUAUAUAUGAAGAUUGUGGACCAUAUAAAUUAUUAUUGUACUUAACAUAGACUUGUCUAUUAUGUAGGAAAUUAAAAAUCCAGUUAAUCAACUUAUCUGGUAUUCCUAGUGUUUGCAGUUCAUUAGUUAGAAUAUGAUGAUUAACAUUGUUAAAAGCACCAACUAUAUCAAAGAAGACAGAAACCAGUAUAUUGUUACUAGAAAAAGCACGAUGAAUAUCUAGGUUUAAAUGAUUUAAGCUCUCUGUAGCUGAAAAACCUUUCCUGAAGCCAAACUGAUUUGAAGAUAACUGAUAGAGGAGUUUGCCGAUUAAUCGACUCACAGAAUUUUAUCCAGCUGGCAUUUCUUUCGUUUUUGAGAUGUUACAUAAAAGGUGGGUGAUGGUUGGAAGAUGAUAGCUCCCUAAAGGAUUAUCAUGUACAGACCAAUUGCAUCGGAGUGACAGAGAGGCAGAAACAAUUGUAAGAUCCAGAGCACUUGGACUCCAUAUAUCAGAGCCUACAGUAGUGGGUUGACCAUUAUUAAUUAUACAAAGAUCAUUGUCUUCAAUAGUAUUAAGAAGAAUAGUGCCUCUAGAAUCGGUUCUCGAGCAACCCCAAGUGGUAUUGUGGGCGUUAAAGUCACCAGCUAUUAUCAUAGGUGAUGGGAUAGAUUUAAAUAAGUUAUCUAAAUGUAAAUGUGUAAAGUUACGUGACAUUGCGGAUGUAGGGCUGUAAAAACUAACAAAAGAAAUUGUUUCAUUUUUCAAAUAUAAUUUUAAAGCGAUAUUUUGCAAAGAAUCAUCGUGAUAUGUAUUUAAUCUGUUAUAAUUCAAUUUGUUUUGUAUUAGAAUGGCUACACCAUUAUGAUUAUUACCAAUGUCUAAUCUUUCUAUAUUAUAACCUUUGAUAUUAAAGUUUUUGAAAGGCUUUAGCCAAGUUUCAGAAAGAAGGGCGAUAUGUAUAUUGUUGUUAUAUAAAAAAUAAGUAAAAGCAAGUCUAUUAUUUAUUAAGCUCUGGGCAUUCCACUCGAUAAUAUUUAAAAUAUUAUCCAUUAAAGAGAUACUAUUAAUUAGUGUUAGUACUGGAAAUCUUAAAAGUAUCUAAAAUUAUGUUUUUUAUGCCUUCUGAGUUUAAGGGAGAGUCAUCUGUUUUAUUAACAGAAAUAAUUUUAAUAACUGAUGCAAUGAUUAAUUUUAAAAAGUCAUCAUUUUGCAAUAAUGUGUUAAUAUUGUCAGUAGGUUUAGUUUUAGUGUUUAAAGAUGGAAAAGAUUUUUCAUUAAAUAA